GAGUGAAGCGGCAAAAGCUCAAAUUUGAAAUCGGCCAUCAGGUCGAGUUGUAAUUUGUAGAUUGUACUUUGAGAGCGGAUUAAAGUCUGUUGGAACACAGCGCCUUAGAGGGUGACAGCCCCGUAAAAUCUAUUCUCAUUGUAAGGUACUUUCGAAGAGUCGAGUUGUUUGGGAAUGCAGCUCUAAGUGGGAGGUAAAUUCCUUCUAAAGCUAAAUAUUGACGAGAGACCGAUAGCGAACAAGUACUGUGAAGGAAAGAUGAAAAGCACUUUGAAAAGAGAGUGAAAAAGUACGUGAAAUUGUUAAAAGGGAAGGGUAUUGAAUCAGACGUGGUGCUGUUGUUCAACUUUGUUUCGGCAUGGUGUACUCAGCAGUACUAGGCCAAGGUGGGGUGUUUGGGAGUGAAAAAGGAAUAGGAACGUAGCUCUUCGGAGUGUUAUAACCUAUUUUCAUAGCUCCUCAGGCGCCUCAGGACUGCGCUUCGGCAAGGACUUUGGCAUAAUGAUUCUAUACCGCCCGUCUUGAAACACGGACCA
This 536-nucleotide ribosomal RNA is filed under the name Geotrichum pseudocandidum. RNAcentral describes it as "Galactomyces pseudocandidus partial 26S ribosomal RNA". It matches the Rfam family "Eukaryotic large subunit ribosomal RNA", at positions 91 to 668 of the family's 3401-position model. The record is from RNAcentral. Lineage: Eukaryota; Fungi; Ascomycota; Dipodascomycetes; Dipodascales; Dipodascaceae.